Molecule: non-coding RNA, 403 nt
Organism: Nicotiana tabacum (common tobacco)
Lineage: Eukaryota; Viridiplantae; Streptophyta; Magnoliopsida; Solanales; Solanaceae
Source: RefSeq, a predicted model, not a curated record
CUCAGCACAUACGUUUUGCUUUACAAAAGCUAACGUCUCCUCCUUUCCCUCCUUCUCCCACUCAAAAAUCAAAAUUCAAGAAUUCAAUUCUACUCCCCCCUUUUCCCAAAUUAUCAUAUCAUCACUUGGUUUCUCUUCCAUUUUCACCAAACUGAGGAAAGCAGAGAAUUGGCCGGAAAAAUAAAGAACCCUCCGUCGGAUUCUUACGUCAUUGUACGGUGGAGUUUUCUGUUCAUUACGGGUGAUAAAGACUUUAGCAAGGUGUAAAUGCUUCAACAUGCAUAACCGCCAAAGUGACAAGCCUUUGCAUAUGGAAACAACUUGUGGUUCUCUUCUGUCUGAGAUGCAGAGAAUAUGGGAUGAGAUGGGAGAGCCAGAAAUUGAAAGAGAUAAGAUGCUUUUU